GACAGAGGUGCCGAGCGUUAGGCGGAAUCACUGGGCUUAAAGCGUGUGUAGGCGGGUCCGUAAGUACCUUGUGAAAUCCCAUGGCUCAACCAUGGAACUGCUUGGUAUACUGCGGAUCUUGAGCCACCUAGGGGCAAGUGGAACAAACGGUGGAGCGGUGAAAUGCGUAGAUAUCGUUUGGAACGCCAAUGGUGAAAACAACUUGCUGGGGGUGUGCUGACGCUGAGACACGAAAGCCAGGGGAGCAAAACGGGG
RNAcentral lists this ribosomal RNA (255 nucleotides) under uncultured bacterium. RNAcentral's name for it is "partial 16S ribosomal RNA". It matches the Rfam family "Bacterial small subunit ribosomal RNA", at positions 524 to 778 of the family's 1533-position model. The record is from RNAcentral.